GGGAAAGUGCAGAUGUCACCCAGGCUUGGUCCCGUUCAUCCCCUGCUCACUCCCAGCCCCACAGUGCUGCUGGCUGGAGCAUGGCACAGAUGCCAGGCUCUGAACCAUGGUGGCAGAGGUGGCCUUGGGGCUUGCCCUGGAAAAGGGGAUGGGAGUGUGUGGGAUUUGUGUCCCACCAGUACCAACUCCCCAGGACAGCUUCAGGCUCUACCUUAGCACCCUGGAUUCAUCCAAGCUCCCCUGCCCCUCAUACCCCCUGUCCCAACCCAUGCUAUUCCCCUAGCAUUAAUAAAGCCAUUAAUUAGUAGAUUGGAGAUAUGUCUCAGAAAUGCCACUUUGGAGCAAGCUGGAAGUGCUGCAAUUGGGAUCACAGCGAUAAGCAGGUUCAAGGAGGCAGAAGAUAAGUGAAUGCCGGGGCCAAUGUUUAAUACAGGCAAUUCCUGCCCUGGCCACUCCUGGAGCCCCGUGCACACGGAGCAGGGGCCCGCAAAGAGAAGCGGUGCGAGAGCUGCGCUCGGUCUCCCGGGGGAGCGGAGCCGCGGCUGCUGCCGCACAGAGCCGCCUUUCAUUACAAAGGGCCGGGAAGCGGCUCGGAGCUGCCAGCAGCACUGACACGAUGCAAGAAGGGAUUUUUCAGGCUGAUGCAGCAACAAAGGCAGUUAAAUCUAGCCAGGGGGAAUUAUUUUUGGUAAUCCAUGUGUUGCUGCUCGUUGGGCGCUGGAGCAGAAGUAAGCAGGGAGGAUGGGCCAGGGCAGGAUCGGAACCCCAGGAUAUGUUGCAGGGUCUGGCUGGCACCCGGUCAUAAAGCUCAUGAUGACAUUCACCCAGAGCCAGCGGCAUCUCGGGCAGCAGCAGAGUGUGGAGAGCCAUGUCCCAGCCCAGCAGGAUCCCAGCCCUGCCCAGGAGCUGUUGCAGCCUGCAGCAGCAGUGGGUGUACACAGAGAAAUGCCACAUCUGCAUGGAUGUCCAUGCACCCAUGCAGUCCAGCCAGACCUGAAAAUAGGUUGGUUUAAAAAAUGCAUCACUUUGAAGUUAUGUAAAUGAAAGGCAGCGGCAAACAGAGCAUGCUGGCAAAAGGGUUUCCAAUUUUUUUUUCCUCCUCGCCAGCUUCCUCCAGUUAAAAUUGGGUUGCAAUUCAUUAAUAAAGGAACAGUUGUACUGAAUAAGCUCCCGUGCUUAAAUCAGGACAGAGAAGCGUAAUUAACCCAGCUCCAGUCUGAUGUGAUGGAAGAGGAAAAUGCUCUUCUGUUUUGGUCCCUUCCCUUAAAAGCCCGCUGCGUUCUCCCGGCCUCUUGGGAACGGAGCUGAGCUUCUUAUUUAAAAAUGAAGCUCGCAGCCUGACAGAGCGGGUUCAUGUAUAUAUAUAUAAAAGCUGUCAUGAUGAUAUUUUAUUCAUACCCCUCUUCCCCUUCCCUUUGCUUGGAAAAUCCAGGAGCAGCCAGCAGGCAGUGUGGAGAGAGAGAAAGCAAGAAUCCCCUUUUAAAAGUAAAUUACAGAUGCAAGUCACAUUAGUUGAAGCCCCACGCGGCGGCAGAUUCCUGAGUACCAGGGCUGGCCCGGCGGCUUGGCCAGCCCGGAGCUGGCACAGCAUCUUCCCACCCCGAGCGCCACCCGUGAGAGGGCAGGAGGCGACAGCCGGGGGUGGCACCGCCUGCACUGCCCGUUUGUACAAGCUGGAGAUUUGUCCUCGCUCCUCUAAACGGAGCGACCACCUAAAUUACAGCCUAAUUAAGGGCCACAAAGGGCUCCCACUGGCAGAUCCUAUCGGUGGGAUUCAGCCCAUUAUCCUGGGCUCAAGGUGAGGGGAUGCCUUCUCCGCCGUUAUCCCGGGGCUGGAUUCCCACCUUUCCCCGCAGUUAGUGUGGAUGAGCCAGACGCUGUCCGGCCACCAUGGGACUGGCUCGUGGCUCUGCAUGUUGAUGGAGCAUCCCUGCGGCUCGGCUCCGCCUGGCCAUGCUGCCCCCCUUCCUCCGCCGCCGCUUCCUCAUCCUCACCUGCUGUCAAAUAGCUGGCUGGCUGCACGGGAAGGCAAACUGGAUUUUGGGUGGCCUUUGGGUGGGGAAGAGCUGCCCGCAAGGGUGCUGGAUUUGUUGUGCAGGGCAGGGAGUGUGGUGAAGCAGAGCAGGUCUAUUGAAACUGGGAGUGCUGCAGGGCUGGCUUGAUGUGAGAGGCAGAUGCUGAAUUCCACACGGGGCCAGCCACAGAUCCAUCAACUCCUCCUCUGCCCCUGCUGAAGCUACGCUGUGUCACCUCUCACUGUCCCUGUGUCACCUGGGGUGAGGUGAGGUGAAUGCCCAGAGGGAUGCAGCCAGUCAGCGCCAGCGCUGUGGGAGCACCCCCAGAGGAGCAGCCCUGAGAUGGGGACAGGCAGAAGGACCUCCACAAUGGGGAAGUACAGCAGUACCCCUGUGCCACAGGGCUGCCCCCUUAGCCCUGGGUAUGGAGCUGGAGCAGGGGUGGCAGUGCUCCAUGGCACCACUCCCCCCACUCCACCAGGGACCUCCCUGGGGACCUUCUCCAUGUUUCUUCUGCCUCACUCCCAAUGCCUGCCCAUGUCCACCCCUUGUACCUCUACCCCAAGGGAUUUUGAGGCUUUAAUAGUUUUAUUAAAAACUAACAGGUUGGUUCCCAGAGCACAGGGAUGCUGGACCCUGCCAUGAACCCACCAUACAGCCCACUGAGUGGCUGGGUUCUGGUGUGGAGGGAAUAGGGGCAUUGCCAGGGUUCAUCCUGCCCGGCCACACACCAGCAUGCCUGGGCAAAUGAAUCCCUGGGGAUGAAGGAGAUCUGGGUGAUGCCAGCCAGCCCUUUUGUAGCAGAGUUGUUUCUGGUGAGGAGGAAAAAAAGAGAAAAAUGAGUGUUUGUUUCUUUCUGAGAAGAUUGCUCUCUGCACGCUCCUUGUAUUUAGUUAUUAUUAAAGGGUUGUUUUGCUGUCAGUGAAAGCCUGCAAUUACAGGCUCUCUCUUCUUUUCCUGGCUGUCACUAUUCCCCAUGAAAGCAUUGCCCACAAUUUUAGCAUUUCUGCAUUACAAUGUAAAGAAAAAGAAAUUGGGAUUUGGGCUGACACUUUCCAUGUGCACACGGCUGGUUUCAAGCUCCUCUGAUUGUCCCCCCCACCAAAAAAACAUCAUUUUGGGGGUCAGACCAGAGCAGAAUGUAGCUGUGCACUAGCAGAGGCUCUUUGGUCUUUACCCCCUUGCUUGUUCAACCCAUAACCAGGCAAAAAGUUCACAGGAAUCCUACCAAUGCCAGUGCUGUGGUCAGGAAGCCAACACCACCUCACACCCUUCUCCCCUAAGUGUGCUGUGCAGAAAAAAAAGAUACUAUUUUCACUGAAGAUCCUUAUAAAUUUCCCUUGGUCAAAUAAUUCAUGGCUGAUGGCUGGAAAUACACUUGGUGCCCUGUAUCUGUCUGUGCCAGCUCUGCAUUGUGCCUGCCACACCAUAAAUCCCUUCCCCGACCCCACGAAACCUGGGAUAUCCCCAGCCAGAACCAGCAUCCAUGUGGAGCCAGCGAUGCAGCAGAUGGGGCAGACUUGGCUCUGCUGGACCCCAAAUCCUCAACGUUCCUAGAGGAAUUCCCCCAAAGUUCAUGGGGACACUUCUCUCUCCAAACCCUCCUCCCUGGCUGUAUCACCACUAAUCUAAUGUGGCUAAUUUUAAACGAAGCUGCCCUCCCUUGACAUGCAUCUCCCCGUGGCAUUGAAAUUAAAUGUAGGCUGUAAUUUGGCAUUUGAGAAGCGAAAGGGAUGGUGGCCCUAAGGGAAAAGAUAACAGCUUGGCUGUUUGUGUUAAAUAGCUGUCUGCUAGCUUCAAACUGCAGCCGGAGAUUCAGCUCACCGCGGGCAGGCUGCCAGCCCCGGCCUGCUUUUGGCUCCAGCUCCUUCACAGCAGGAAGCUCAGAGGGGGGAUCUCAGCCCUGACCCCCCCACUGCAUCUCACAGGGCAUCUGCUUGUUCCCCACCCUCCGUGGCUUCUGCUAAAACUGUCUGGCAGGCUCCUUGCUCCAGCUCCAGGGGCCGUGGCCACCAGGAAAGCAGCAGGGAUGGAUGCACAGCCAUGGGCAAGGAGAAGUGCAGUCCUCUGGGGCAUUCUGAACGUGCCAUGGGGCAGCACAGCCUGGCAGGGCAUCCCAAUUCCAUGCUGCACCUUGUGAGGUGGUGGCAGCCCAUCAGGGACAUCCCUGCCAAGUGCUGCACCAGUGUGGAUUUGCAGCUGGCGAUGCUGGGAUUUGGCCUCAGCAUGGCACACAGGUCUCUAGAUUGGCUCCAGACCCCAGCCCUCCUUGCAAGUGAAAACUCUCUGCCACCUGAAGACUUUGCUUUAAAUAAAAGUUUGCUUGACUCAAA
This is a long non-coding RNA of Taeniopygia guttata (zebra finch), 4348 nucleotides long. RefSeq lists it as uncharacterized. NCBI's taxonomy places the organism in Eukaryota, Metazoa, Chordata, Aves, Passeriformes, Estrildidae. The record is from RefSeq and is a predicted model, not a curated record.